This 870-nucleotide long non-coding RNA is filed under the name Ailuropoda melanoleuca (giant panda). RNAcentral's name for it is "lncRNA (ENSAMEG00000025234.1)". The record is from RNAcentral. Lineage: Eukaryota; Metazoa; Chordata; Mammalia; Carnivora; Ursidae.
GCAGGACUGGGACUGAAUCCAGGAAUUAGGCCCUGUCAGAUUCCAAGGCUGCUUUUUCCGUUACACCAACACAGCCUCUAUUUCGAGGCCUGAAGUGGUUAAAAACAAAAAUAAGUAUUGCCUCAGUAUUCAUCCAAGUCCCUAUGUCCCGUUCGAGUCACAUUCACAGUGUUCGCGUAAACUGUAAAGCAGCAACCACCACAAACUGACAAGAGACUUAUUAAGACUGAGGCAAAGCUGAGAGUAAGUACACAGGACAGAGGUAAGUGAGGAAAUGAAUUUACAAACGGCUCUGUUGACUCUUGAGGAAAGCCCAAGGAACAACUCACCUUCAAGGGACUAGUCCCAUUUCUCCUUUAAAAGUAUGUUAAAAAUUCACAAGAGAGUAUCUUUGCUGUUCAGGAAAUAAAAAUCAAACAUCUGAUCGUUAACCAAUGACCUCGUUUCCCCAUCUAUGACGAUCUUGUUUUAAUACGUUACAGAGAACAGAAAAAUCACAAGUAUAACAUAGGCAUCCCACCAAGAUAAACAGGAAGACGAUCUUUGAGUUCUGGGAAAGCAACUAAAAUUCUGAGCCAUUUUCUAACUAUAGUAUUGGGACAUACACAAGUAGGUGUCGUUGGGAAAUAGCACCUGCUCUUUUCUGUACUGGGGGUUCUGCCAGAAGUACACAUAAGCUGUGUGCUUCCCCACGUACGUGGAGCCAGCUUUGCUGUCUACUAAGGUUUCUUUAGAAAAUAAGAUAUUUCAAAGACUUUUUAUGUAUUCUAGAAAAUCUGUCACCCAACUUUAUCAGCUUAUGGUUUAAAACUUAUCGAUCUAGGGGCGCCUGGGUGGCACAGCGGUUAAGCGUCUGCCUUCAGCUCAGGG